AAUAUACUCCUCUGCUCAAAAUACUCUCAAGAACUCAAGCUAGGGUUUCAAUUUGAAGACCCAAAUCCCAUCAAUCGAAAAACAUAACUCCUCAUUUAUCUUCAAUAUCAAAAGAAGGGUUUCUCUCAAGAUCAUAACCUAUAACAAGAAUCAAAUCCUUCUUAAAGAAUAUAUGAUAUUCAAGUUUUUCAAACUCAAGAGCCAAUUUAUUUUCUCUCAAAGGAACAAGAACCCUAGUCAAGGAAUCAAGAACAUAUCUAAGAAUUUCUUCAAGAAUCUUCCACCUAAGGUAUGUGUAGUGUUCAUUCACGGAUUCCUUUCAUUCGUAGGAGUCCAAGAACCAUACUUUAAAUACUAUAUUGUGAUUGUCUUGUUGGGAUAUGAUCAUGUACAUGUUGAUGGUUGUUGUUUAUGCUUCAAGAUGUUAAUUUAGGGUGAUUCUCAUGAAGUAUGUGUGCUUGUAGUUAAAACUCAUGAAAUUGGGUGGUUUAAGAUGACUAAAUUAUUAAGAACACCUAUACUAUAAAGUGUGCAUGUAAGGUGUUCGACGAAAUGCCUAGAAUAGGCAUAAUCAUGUUUUCAUGAUUUAAGAGUGCUCAAUUAACAAGUCCUUACUCCAUGUUUUAUGAUUUCACGUGAAUUCCAUGUUGUGUGAAUAAAGUUCGAAUCUUUACAUGUUAUUCAUGAUACCAUGAUAUUUUGUGGAUUCAAUUGGUGGAAUUGAGUUGAAUUAUGGUGUUAUGGUGUAUAAAAUUGAUCAUUAGGCCUAUACCCUAAAUAGUGCAUGCAAGGUGUUUGUUAAAAUGCCUAAGUGAAGAAGAAUUGAGCACUUUGACCUCUUUGUGAUCUAAAUGAUAUUCCAUGCCAUAUCCAUGUGCUUAAGUUAACUCCCAUGCUAAAGCUAUGCCUACCAUGUGUUUGAUAAUGUGCCUCAACGAAUAAAUGAUGAUCAAGUACCUAAUCUUCAUGCUCAAAGAUUUUUCCAUGUCUCUUAAGUUAUGCCAUGUCUACUUGAUCAAGAUGAUUUCUAUGCUAUUAAUGUGCUAUGAAUAUGUUGUUGGCUUGUCAUGAUAUUAGAAUUGACCAUGAUAUUAGCUAUAUGAAAAGGUUAUGAAAACCACAUGAUUUAUGAAUUCCCCGUAGAUGCUAUAUUAUGGAUUGUUAAUGUUAGUCAAGUACUCUUGUAUGUCAAGUCAUGUCAGUUUCCUUCCAUCGAGUCCUAAGGGUAUUCGUACCCAAAAAAUAUAGCUGUGUGCCUAGAGCCAUGUUAUAUUUUCAUGAUACUCUCAGUCAAGCCCUGUUCAGUAGACUUCAGUCAGCUAACAGAACUCAGUAGCAUUUAGUCAGUUAACAGAAUUCAGUAGUGUUUCGCUAGUCAUCGGAACUCAAUAAACUCAGUCCAUGUUCAGUUUAGUUAAACAGAACAAUCAGUAACAGUUCAGUUAAUUCUAGUAUAAACUAGGAAAUCAGUUUAGUAUAAUCAGUUCAGUGUCAUUCAUUUGGGAGUAGGAUUCAGCACCGAGCGAACCCAAGGAUGGGAACUCACCUGCCAGUGCAGGGUGUGAUUCUUAGAAGCAGCCCUUGCAUUCCAGAACUAUGUAGCCAGCAUAGGUUGAGACAUCAAUACCUGUCAGUUGAGGGUAGAUGAGGUGGAUUAACCUGUCAGAUGAGGGUUCCCACCGUUCUCAUUAGAGUACCUGCCAGAUGAGGGUCACUUUCAGCUUGUCCUUGCCAGUGGAGCAGUAUUGACAUCCUUCCAAUCAGGGUAGAGAUUGGACCCCAGCUUCGCUAUUAUAGCGUAUUUGGGGUAUGUCGGUUAGAUAACUACUUCCCACAGUUUCAGUAUCAGUCUCAGUAAAAGAACUCAGAUAGUUCUUCAGGAUAUCAGGACUGUCAGAUACAGUCAACUCAGAUACAGUACAGAACUCAGCUAGUUCCAUCAGAUUUAGGACUGUCAGAUACAGUCAUUCAUGUUAUUAGUUAUCAGAACUCAUGUUAUCAGAUAUAUCAGUUAUCAGAAUUCAGAUAUCAUUCAUGAUAUGUUAUCGGUAAAUACCUGUCAUCAGUAUUCAUACUUAGUAGUCAUGUUAUCACGAGCUCAGUUUUAGGACUGUUAUAUACGGUCAAUCAAAUCGGUUAUUUAUAAUUAAACUAUCAAAAAUAACCAUUUCUUUAUCAGUAAUAUAGUAUCAGUCUCCCAAUAUUCAGUAAUACAGUAUCAGUUCCUCACUUAUUAGUGAAUUACAUAUCAAUAUCAGUAAACUCAGUCAUUCAGUACUCAAUAUCAGUAAACNNNNNNNNNNNNNNNNNNNNNNNNNNNNNNNNNNNNNNNNNNNNNNNNNNNNNNNNNNNNNNNNNNNNNNNNNNNNNNNNNNNNNNNGUAUGUAUGUAUGUAUUCUCACGUUCAUAUCAGUCAGCAUUGUUCAUGCAUAUAAAACCCUUUGCAUUUAGCUUACCUCACUCGUAUACUCAGUACAUUCAGUCGUAUUGACGUAUUUGCUCUAUGGUGUUUUAUUUGACGCCAUAGGUACAGAGACACGAGUUUCAGAGCAGCAGUAGCAUUGUAGAUUUCAGGAGUCAGUGCUCCUCUUCAUUCGAGGACAAUAUUAUUAUUACUUUAUUACAGUAUUUCAGAUUAGUUUUUCAGUUCAUGGAGUUAGUUGGAGACAUAUUCUUUCAACUCCUUAUUCAGUUCAGUUAAAGAUUUUUGGACUAGAUGUCAGAUUAGAUGUUUAGACUUUAGUAUUUAUGUUUCUUUUUGGUAUUGUUAUACCAUAUUUUUUAGAUACGUAUUAGUAUUGAACCUUAUGGCCUUACAGUUCAUGUUUCCGCAUAUUUUAUGAGAUAUUAUGUAGUUUAAAGGUACAGAUAUCAGUCAUAGGUUAGCUUGUAGUCCUUCGAGGUCAUGAGCACCGUGUAGCAUUUUGGUUCAGAAAAUUGGGGCGUUACAAACUUGGUAUCAGAGCCUAAGGUUCAACAGUGUCCUAGGAAGUUUGAAAGCUACAUCAAGUAGAGUCUUGUACAUGGGCGUGUUGUGCACCACACUUAUGUGCAGGAGGCUAUGAGAUAUUUUAGGAAUUGUUUCCCUUCUUUCAUGCCUCAAGAUUGUGCUAUAGCAAGUUUCUCUAAGGAACCCAUGUAGAUUCACAUCAGGCUCCCCUCAUGUCGACCUUACCUUACUUUUAAGAUAACAGAAACAGUGAAGCUCAAGUCCUAAAGAUAGGGCUUUCUCAUGCAGUCCCUAGAGACAAUUAUGGAUUUGCCAUAUGCUCAGACAAUACCCCCUCAAUUCAGUCAUGUUCCAAAGUUGUACAGAUUUUAUUUAUGAUCAUGAGAACUCCUUUGUAAACUCAAAUCCAAUUUUUGAUAUGCUGUUAGAUCCCUUCUCUGAAUCCUAUAACAGUAUAGACCUAGAAUUUUAAGCAUGGACCCAAGAGUUUAGCAGUAGAUGAGUUGGGAUAGUAUUAUCUAGUCUGAUUAGAUUAUGUAUUCAUUGGGAUAGUUGUACCAAGGUAAAUCAGGAGGCUUGAAUACUGUAAGCUAGAAAUUAAGUUUAUUUACUUGAAAUUAAGCAUGAAGGUGUAGAUGUGAUAUUAGUAGUAUAUGAGGAAACAGAAGCAGCUGAUGUGUUUAGUAGGAUGGGCAGGAGUCGAAUAGAGUAUAAGUAUGCGAUGAUAGAUUAAGAGACCAAGUCAGACUCUCAGAUUCCAGCAGUAGUGCCAGUAUGUAUAGAAAAACAGUAAGGGAAGACGAUUCCUAACCCAUCCUCUUCUCAGUACAAAGAUUUGUACUUCAGCUAUCACGAGAUCCACUCAGGUCUUAUAUAUCAAAUCUAUGGUCACGAACUACGAUUAUGCACUUUUCCAUAAAUCAUGUACGGUUUUAGUUCCCAGUAUAAAGGAUCUCAGUUUACCUCGAAGUACGAAUCAAUUCUAUGAACACGACUUAUGUUCACACGUUUCCAUAGAAUCGUGUGCACUUUUAGUUCCCAGCAUAGGAAGUUAGAUCUAAAUCACUCAGUGUCACGAAUCAUGUCUCAUGAAUACAAAAAACUCAAAACUUAGGUCAUGCAGCUCAUAACUCAUGUACACAUAUCAUGUUUUACAGUACACUCUGCUUUCAUGACUCAUGCUAUGCCCCUACAGAUCAGAUAAAUUCAUACCAUGUCAUGUAUAUUAUCAGUUCAAACCUUUUUGGUAAAUCCAUGCUUAGCUACCUCAUGUUAGUCAGUCAGUCCCUUCUCGUAUGCAUAAUACUCUAUGGUCUCCUUAUAUUCAGACUAAGUACAAUUCAGUCUUGUAUACCCAGUAUUCAAUUACCAGUUAUUAAGUUAAUCAGAUAAGUUAUUAUAUUUAUGCACUCGUAAUCAGCUAAGUUCAUGCAUCAUGUCUCAGUUUCAGAUCCCAGCUAUUAAUUCACAAUUCUAUUCGUAAGUGCCUUGUACACCGCCUUAGGUUUCCUUAGUAUCAAUUACAACCUCGCACAAUUACUGAUGUGUUUUGCACCUUUUCCUCAAUAUUUUCUUCUGAUGUGAGAUUUUGAGUUAGUGAUAACAGGUAAUCUUCACAAACAUCUCUGUCUUAUGAUCAUCAAGACCAACAGUCAAUUACAGUAUCUUUGGAGGACAUAACACUGGACAACAAUUUGCUUUUACAGGGGUUUAUGGUCCAUGUAAUAGAAAGCUGAGGAGAACUCUAUAGAAGGAACUUGUUGCUAUUAAUGGUAUUAUUCUACAACCAUGGGCUGUUGGAGGAGAUUUCAAUGUGAUAAGGUUUGCGGAGGAAAAAUCUGGAGCAGCCAGAAACACCAAACAAUUAGAGAACUCUCAAAUACUAUUAAUAAGCUUGAAUUAAAAGAUCUUUCUCUUCAUGGUGGUGAUUUUACGUGCUUCAAGGCUGGAUAGUUUUAUUAUUUUAGAGAGGUAGGAUGAGCAUUUCAAAUGCAUCAAACAAAGAGUUCUUCUCAGAACCACCUCAGAUCACUGUCCAAUUAUUUUAGAAUAUGGUGAUUGGGGAAAAAGAAAAAAUAUACUUCAAGUUUUAGAACAUGUGAUUUGAACAUAAAGAAUUCAUUGAUUUGAUCAAAAACUGGUGUGAUUCGUAUGCAGUUGUAGCAGAACCUGAUGUGAUCCUUGCAAGAAAAUUGGUUUUGCUUAAAGAAGACCUAAAAAAGUGGAACAGGGAGGUGUAUGGAAAGUUGGAAGAAAGAAAAAAUAAAGCUUAAGUUACACGGGAGCAGCGAGACCAUAAUAGACGGAAUAUUUCUCUUGAACACCAAGCAAAAUUUGAGGCAUAAAGGCCAUCGAUCAAGAAGUAGAUGGAAGAGGUGGCAAAGGCGAAAGAAAUCUCUUGGAGACAGAAGUCUAGAUGCUUAUGGAUAAAACAUAGAGAUAAAAAUACUAAAUUCUUUCAUAAGUAGGCCAAUGCUCACAAAAGAUUUAAUAGCAUUGAUAAAUUAGUUAUUGGAGAGGAGCUAGUGGAGGAUGAGCAGAACAUUAAAGUCCAUAUUUUGGACUUCCAUAAAAUCUGUUCAGUGAAUCAGAAUCUUGGAGACCCAACUGGGAGGAUGAUAGUGUUAAGAGGUUGUAAAGUAAAGAAAAGGAAUAGAUAGAAAGGUCUUUCACAAUGGAGAAACUGGAAGAGGUUAUAAAAACUUCCAAAGGAAAAAAGGAUCCUGGACUUGAUGGAUUUAACCUAUUUCUCUUUAAAAAAUAUUGGGAGUAUUGUUAAAAUGGAUAUUUGAAGAGCAGUGGAUGCUUUUUACAAGAAGGGAUCUUUUGUCAAGAGCUUGAAUUCUAUAUUCAUUACUCUAAUCCCUAAAAAGAAAAAAGCGGUGGAGGUCAAAGAUUUCAGACCUAUUAGCCUUUUGGAGAGUGUAUACAAAAUCAUAUUAAAGCUUCUGGCAGAAAGACUUAAGAAAGUUAUCAAUAACUUGAUGUCUCCCAAUAAAAAAGCUUUUAUCGAAGGAAGGAAAAUUAUUGAUGUUGCAACGAUAGCUAAUGAAAGUCUAGAUAAUCUGAUAAGAAGGAAGAAAAUAGAGGUGGCGUGUGAGUUGGAUUUAGAAAAGGCAUACGAUCAUGUCAAUUAGUAGUGCCUAUUGAAUCUUCUGAGGUAGAUAAACUUUGGUGAGAAAUGGACAGAAUGGAUCAGAUUUUGCAUCUCAACGGUGAGAUUUUCCAUCUUAAUCAAUGGUGACGCUCAAGGUCAUUCCAGCUCUUACAGAGGCUUGAGACAAGAGGGUCCUUGUCUCCUUAUCUAUUUGUUAUAGUAAUGGAAAUUAUCAUUACAAUGUUAAGGAAAGCAGACUGCUUGGGUUGGUUAAAAGGUAUAAAGACAGGUAGAAAUGAUCAGGAAGGCAAGAUGCUUAAUCAUAUUCUUUAUGCAGAUGAUUCUCUUCUAUUUUGUGAGGAUGAUAGAGAUCAAAUUUUGUAUAGGGGUUCUGUCAUGUUUUGAGGCAGUCACUGGCUUGAAAAUUAAUCUGGCUAAGAGCAAAAUCUUUAGUAUUAAUGCUGAUGAUUAUGUUGAAAAGCUGGCAGACAUUUUAGGGUGUAAAGGUGAUAAAUUCCCCCCUACUUAUUUGGGGCUUCCAUUAGGGGUGAAGAAAAGGGCAAAAGCAUCUGGUAAGGAGUUGUUGAUCAUUGUAAUAAGAAGCUGACUCCUUGAAAAAAAAAAAACAUUUGUCAUUGGGGAAGGCUUACGUUGAUUAAUAGUUUCCUGGAUGGUUUGCCUAUAUAUAUGAUGUCUCCAUUUAAAAUGUCGGUAGAAGUUUAAAAGAAGUUGGACUCCAUUAAUAGAAAAUUAUCAUGGAAUGGAAAUGCACAUAAGAGAAAAAUUCAUUUGGUGAAGUGGCAAGUGGUCAUUGGAGAUAAGAAAUCUAGGGGUUUCGGUGUGAGGAAUCUGAAAAUGCACAAUAGAAGACUACUUUUUAAAUGGCUAUGGAGUUAUAGUCGAACAAGUAUUGUCAAAAAAUGUUAGAUGCAAUAAAUGGUGAAAACGAGGGAUGGAAACAAAAUCCUUCACAAUUGAAGGUUUGUAUAGGAAUCUAGAGAAAAAUAAGUGAAGAAUGGGAGGAGUUCUUACAAUAUGCAAGGCUGGAGGUUGGCAAUGGUGCCAGAAUUAAAUUAUGGACUGAUACUUGGUGUGGAGACGAAAGUUUUAAAAGCAGAUUUUCAUAUUUGUUUAGAUGUGCUUUGAACAAAGAGGGUCCCGUUAUAAAUUUCUAUCAAGUUUCAGGCUGGCAUAUUACUUUCAGGAGAAACUUGAAUGAUUGGGAAGUGGAGAGUUUCUGCCAACUAAUGCAACAAUUGAGCACAUGCUUAAUAGAUAGGGACAAAGCUGGCACGUUAGUUUGGGUCAAUAACAGGGAUAAAUUAUUUUCAGUCAAAAGUUUUUAUAAAAUGUUGUUAAAACAGAAUAAUCAAGGGAUUCUAACUGGCGGUGGAAAAUGAUCUGGAGAACUAAGAAACCCUUAAAAGCAACUUGCUUUGGUUGGUUAGCAGCCAGGGAUGCUUGUUUAACGAAAAAUAAUCUGCAAAGGAGAUGAUGUUCCAUGUACAACAGAUGUUUUCUUUGUUAUAGGGAGCUGGAAACGGUUGAGCAUUUGUUUCUUCAUUGUAGAUUCUCAAGACAAUGCUGGGAAUUGUUUCUUAUCAUAAUAGGUGUGGCCCUCGUUAUACCACAGAAGAUCAGCAGUCUGUUGGAAGUUUGGCAAGCUCAAAAGGUAAAGAGAAGUAUGAAACAAAUAUGGAUGAUUAUUCCCAUUUGUAUAUUUUAAACUGUUUGGUUGGAAAGGAACAAGAGAUGCUUAGAGGGGAAAAGACCACAGAUUGCUAGCUUAAAAAAUAGAUAUAUCAAAAACCUAUUUUUUGUGUUAUUGCAGCAUUGUAGAUAAGAUGGACCAAUCUUUGGAUUUUUUGAAAUUUUUAGGGGGUAAUAUGUAGUAUGUAUGUGGAGAUGUUGUAGCUUUGUCUUGUACUUGGCUUUGUACCAUCUUGGUACCUUCUGAAUAAAAAGUUUUACCCAUAAAAAAAAAACCAUCUGUUUCUUAUGGCCUUACUUUUACACUAUUCCCUGUGAGGGCUUUAAAAGCACUAGAGCAUUAACGGUAGGUUCAUAUCCCUACUUAUGUGGGACACUUAAUAUAUUGUAUACCUUAACUAUCUAACAAAAAAAGGACAAUCCAGUGCACUAAAGUUCCCGCUAUGCAUAGGGUCUGGGGAAGGGCCCCACCAUAAGGGUGUAUUGUACGCAGCCUUACCUUGCAUUUCUGCCAAAGGCUAUUUUUGAGGCUUGAACCUGUGACCUCCUGAUCACAGGAAGCAACUUUAUGAGUUACUUCAAGGCUCCCCUUCAACAAUCUAACAAACAAUAUAACUAAAAUCUAUAUGAAACUUUGCAAUGGGCGGAAGGUGUCAAAAGCUAAAAUCAGGCAAAGAAUCUUGUUUUGUUGUUUCAUAUGAGUAUAUACAAAGAAGAAAGGUCUUUUUGAGAUCUUGUUUGGUUGAUUCAUUGUCAAAAUAGGUGGGUUCUUCGGAGGCAGUUAGAAAUUGGGCUAUGGAGGCACGAGGUGUAGAAGGUGGCAUGAAAAUUUCUAAGGUGGGGGGCUCACAAUUCCUCGCUCUAUUUGGGAAUGAGAAGCAGGCUUCUUUAUUCUUCUAGGAGGAAGGAGAUGGCUAGGAGGGAACUAUGUGAGACUAGAAUAUUGGAAAGGUGGUGUUGGGUGUGUUAAUCCAUUAUCAUUCAGUAACUCUACAAUCAUAAACUUGGUGGGGUUACCGGCACACGUGUGGUGCUAUGAUCUCUUUAAGAAAGGGAGAUCUAAGUGGAGGCUUUAUGGUUGUUGUUUGUAGCAUGCAUGAUCUGACAAGAGUGAGGAUUUUAGUGAAGAAAGGCGGCAAAGUUCCAAUUUCAGCGGUAGUUGAUGAUGGAGUUUUGAAUCUGGAUGUUUCCAGAGUUCAGACCUAAGAUGAGGUUGAGGGAGAGAAAAAAUGAGGAUGAAGGAGGAGAGAAGGGGUGGGAGGGAAAUGUGAGGGUCUUCUAGGAGGAAAAGGUUGAUUCCCAGAGUUCCUUAUCGAAAAAUAUGGGUUUUAAGUCUGUAACUGUUAGGAGGUCAAAGUCAAGGGUUUUCUAAUUUAGGGCUGAAGGAGUAAUGGAGAAAAGACAUUCUUACCCCUGGUUAAAUGAAAAUGUUUAGACACACAAUCGGAAGAAUUAUCGGCUACCAAACCUCAUUGGUGGGACAGAUGCAGUGAAUAAAAAAUGCACAAAAAAACCCUCCGUCACCAAAAAAUAGUUAGAAUUUGAAAAGAACACCACCAAAAGCUUCGAAGGUGUGUCGUGAGUCCCUAGGAAGAGUUUGCUCGAAAGGGGAGGCAGAAACUCACCUGAACUCUAUGCCCAGCACCUUAACGUCAUCUCUUUAUCGGAAUUCUAACUCUGGCGACCUUUCUUUGAUUGGAUCUAGGGUGGGUCAAACUCAGAAUUCUAUUUUUAACGGGUAAGAUCAGUUUAGAGGUCCAACUAAGGGAGGAAUAUGGGUGCAGCAGCCUUCUAAGGCAGUUUCGGUGACCUCGCCAGCACCAUAAAUGACUGAAAUUACUGCUAGUGGUUCGGGUUUGAUAAAUCAGCCCAGCUCUUUUGUUGUUUCAAACAGGGGGGAGAAAGAGGUAAUUAACGGUAUCAGUGGUGACGGUAUCAGUGGUGUUGUUGUGGAGUUUCUGGUUAAUUCUUCGAAACCCAAAAAUUUCAAAAUUCUUCCUAGUGGGGUCUAAACUGAUUUCAGUUGCUUGGGGGUAGGUGGAGAUGGGGUUGAUAUGUUUGUUGGCUCUUGAAAUGGGGUUUCCCACUAGAGUGAUGGCUCAAUUAAGGAACAUGGUACUGUUUUGGAAGGAACAAAAGAGGAAAGUUGUAUGUCCAAAUGGGCUGAAGAAAAGUUUCUUAAUUUUAGAAAACUUUUGGGGUUGUCCUUUGCUGGAAUGGAGGAAAAAGUUAUUGAGCUCUUGAAUAACAUUGAUCUAGAGGCUACAGGGGAGGUAGAGUUGGUGACUAAGGACUUGCUAGAAAAGAAAUCUAUGGUGGAGGUACAAAAACUAAAGUGACAAAUUGUGGUGUAUAGUAGAAGAAAUAAAGUGAGGAUGGAGGGAAUAAGUUGUUGAUGGAUUGUAAAAUCAUUAGCUAGAAUGUGAGGGGAUGAAUGACCCAAAUAAAAGGGUCAUCAUCAAAGUAGGUUUUAGGGAAUGAGGGGAUGAUGUAAUAUGCACAGAAACAAAAAUGGAAAUCCUAUCAGAUAGCAUUAUUAGAAGUGUGUGGUGAGGAAGGUGGGUGAAGUAUGAUUAGAUUCCAGCCUGGGGAAGUGUGGUACGAAUUCUCAUUCUUUAGGAUAACAAGAAAUUGAUGAGUAUGGAGGUUAUCAAAAGGAUGCGGUUUAUAAACACUAGUAAUAGCAUAGAGUAGGGUUUCGGGGGCUUUCAUGGACUUGUGGGGGAGCGGUUUAAGGAGAUAUUUUGGGAAAAAUUAGGAAUUGGGAUGGGUAGGUGGGAUAUACCUUGGGUGUUAUGGGGGAUUUCAAUACCAUUAUAUAUUCGGAGGAGCGGUUUGGGUGUAGUGUAGUGUCUAGGGCCAUGGAAGCUUUCUCAAAAUUCAUUAACAAUUUUCUCUUAUUGAUUUGCCUUUAUCAGGUGCCUCUUUCACAUGGUCCAGGGCAUAGGAUUCUUCUUCUAAAUCGUGACUAGACAGAUUUCUUGUAUUUACUUCUUGAGAGGAAUUGACUCCCCAUAUAAUCUAGUUUUCUCUCUCACGAUUGAUUUUUGAGCAUUGGCCUUAUCAUGUUAGAUGAAAGCAGAGGAAGAUGGAUGAGACCUCCUUUCAUAUUUGAAAAAAUAUGACUAAGCGUGUCCAACUUUACAGAUAGAGUGGUGGAUCAUUGGAGAAGUUACUCAGUGGAGGGGAUUCCGUGUUAUAGGCUAGCAAAGAAGUUGAAAUUGCUUAAAAAGGACAUAAGGGUGUGGAAUAAAGAGGUGUUUGGGAGGGUAGAAGUGAAAAUAAGGAAGAUGACAAAUGAAUUAAGAGAGAUAGAAAAGGUAGAAGCUAGGCGUGAGUUAGAGGAAAGGAAGAGGGAAAUGAAAGAUAGGUUGAAAAAGGAACUAGCUGAGUUAGCUUUGGCUCAAGAAAUUAGCUGGAGGCAAAAAUCGAGAGCAUUGUGAUUGGAGGAAAGAGGACUCAAAUACAAAAAUUUCCAUAAGGUAGCAAUUGCUAAUAGGAGAAGAAACUUCAUUGAGUUGAUAGAGUUAAAUGGGGUGGUGCAUAUGGGGAAGAAGAUGUAGAGGGAGCGAUUGUAAAGUUUUACAAAUGGUUGUUUAAAGAGAAAGCAAUUUGGGGGCCUAAACUGAUGGAUUUAGAGUUUAAUCACAUUAGUGGAGAGGAGUGUGCGUGGUUAGAAAGGGAAAUUUAGGAGGAGGAAGCAAAAAGGCAGUAGAGUAUUGCGCAGGUCAUAAAGAUCUGAGGCUUGAUGGUUUCUCUUUGGCUUUUUUCCAGCAUUGCUCGAGCAAGGUCAAAAAUAAGGUGAUGGCUACUAUUGUUGAGUUUCAAGAAAGAUGUGAUUUUGAAAAAAGUUUAAAUGUUUCAUUCAUCGUCAUCAUCCCUAAGCAGGAUGGAGCCUCAAGCAUAAAAGACUAUAGGCGUAUUAAUCUAGUGGGAAGCAUCUAUAAGAUCAUCUCUAAGGUGCUUUCCAUGAGACUUAAGAAGGUGCCAAACGAGACUAUAUCUACUUUACGGAAUGCUUUUGUGGAGGGUAGACAGACUUUGGAUGCAUUUUUGGUAGCGAAUGAAGCAGUAGAUUCAAGUAGAAAGCAAAGUGUACCAAUUGUAUUGUGCAAGCUAGAUAUGAAUUGGCGUUUCCUAGAUGCCAUUAUGCUACAAAAAGGAUUUGGGAGAAAUGGAGAAAAUGGAUUUAUUGCAUCUCUUUAGUUAGAUAUUCUGUUUUAGUGAAUGGCAAUCCUUGCGGAUGCUAUUAUGCUACAAAUGAGAUUGAGGAGAAAUGGAGAAAAUGGAUUUAUUGCAUCUCUUUAGUGAGAUAUUAAGUUUUUGUGAAUGGCAAUCCUUGUGGUUUUUAUGGUGCUCCCAUGUUGUUCAUCCUAGUAAUGGAACUAUUGAGCAGCGUAAAGAGAUCAUGAAAGGCUUCAUAAAGGGUUUUAGUGUUGCAGUUGGGGUGUUGGAACAAUUUUAGUUUCUCACUUGUUGUUUGCAGAUGAUACUUUGGUCUUUUGCAACGCAGAUAGGACCCAACUGGAUUAUUUAGGCCAAGUCCUCACUUGGUUUCAGGUGGUAUCAAGCCUUAAAAUUAAUAUGAGGAAGUGCAAUAUCUUUCCAGCAGGACGAAAUACUCAACUCAUGUGGUCCAUAAAUGCAGUUGGGGCAUUAGUCAAACCAAAGGACGUCAUCAAAAACUCAAAAUGAUCAUACCGGGUUUGAAAAACAGUCUUAGAGAUAUUCACUCCCCUAAUCUUUAACCGAUGGUAACCCGAUUGAAGAUCAAUCUUGGAGAAACACUUAGCACCCUGAAGCAGAUUGAAGAGAGCAUCGAUCCUAGGAAGCGGAUAGUUAUUCUUCACCGUCACCUUAUUUAACUGGCGGUAAUCUAUACACGUCCUUUUUAUGCACGAAGAGAACCGAAGCACCCCAAGGAAAAACACUAAGGCGAAUAAAACCCUUAUCUAAAAGAUCUUUCAACUGCUCCUUGAGUUGUUCAACUCAGCCAGAGCUAUUGACACCCAAUUUUUUCCUUCACAAUUAAAUUUAAUCCGGAGUUUCUUCGAUUUAAAAUAAAAUUAAGAUAGUUAUUUUAUUCUGAUAAAAUCUCUCCAAAGUAUCUAUCUAUGUAAUUUGGUCAUUUUAAGUAACGGUUAUAUAUUAUCUUGAUCAAUUAUACGAGAUUAUAUAAUUUGUUUACUUAAAUAUUUAUUCCAUGGAAUUUCAGAUUUUUAUCAAAAUUUACUAUGAAAAGGAUUAAAAUCUUAAAUCUUGAUUUAAAUGGAAUUCAUUCUAUAAAGAGAUUUAUUUGGAUGAAUACGUGUUUGAUUUUAUCAAAUCAAGAGGCUCGGGAUCAAAAUAAGGAUUUAAUUCGCAUCAAAUUUCGAUUUAAUUCAGCCAAUUUAUUUUUGACCAUAAAGAAAACCAAAUUGGCCACAAUUGCAAUGCAAAUUGACCAAUUUAGUUUUAAAUUUUUGAUCAAAUCUAAUUAGAUAAUUUAAUCCUAAUUUGGGGUUAUUUAACCCAUUACCAACCCAACAAUAAUUAACUUGUCCCAAUUCAAGCACAAAAUCCCAACACUAAAUCUGCCUAUCCCCGCUUUAGCCCAUUCCAUAAAAUACCCAUAUCAGGCCCAACAGACUAAUGACCCAAGCCCAUCUUUAAAUCCUCUUUCCUCUUAUAUGCAAAUAACAGCGAAAGCAUGAAUAACCGCGUACAAACAUCAACAGUUGUACGCGCAAAAGCUCCAACCGAAUCAACAAUUUCAAUGACAACAUCUCUAAUUAUCCUCUUUUCAUGUUAAAUUUCAACCAAAAUGAGCUGCCAUCAAUUCAAUCACUCCAAAUCUACCAAAAUCUUAGCUUUUGUAGGUCUAUCACCCCAAGAUGAAGAUUUUUACUCCUUUUCCCUCUUGUUCUUGGUUUGAAUUUUGAAUUUGGAGUUGUUAUGCCUAUAAAUACAACCAUUAUUCAUUCAUUGAGAAAAAAAAGGAGAAAGAGAUUCAUCAGAAGAAGUUAUCAUCCAGUUCACAUCACUGUUUCCUUCUUGUUUUCUCAUUUUCUUUUCCGAUAUCGAAGUUUGAGUUCAAGUUUAGAUUGCCGACGGAAAUCCCCUUAGUUCACUGCCCCGAAAAAGGUGCGAACUUGCUCCCUUUUUAUUUCAUUUUAAUUUUCUUUUCCUAUAUCUAUUUUGGAUUCUAUAGACAUAGGAAUUGCCUUGAUUUCAAAUUGGUGUUGUUCCUGUUGUUUUUGGUCUUGUGGUUAAAAAAAAUAUAAAUAAUUUUAAUUUUGAAAGUUGUUUUGUGUAUGAACAUGUGAUUCUGUGAAUAUGUGUGUAUAGGGGUUUAUCGCUCUUUUUUUUAGUUUUUAUUUCUUCAUUUUGAUGUGAAUCGGAGGUGGUCUUGUCAGUAAAUCCUAAUCCCAUUAUAUUUUAUUUUGAUAAUUCGCUGAUUGUUUGAGUUUGUCGUUUGGCUAAUAUUGGACAUAAAGUAUGAAAUGAAUUGGAGUUGGUCGUUUUGUUGGCCGGUUAUGAAUGCAAACUUUGAAUAUAAUCAUUUAUCGUUUUCUAGUUGGGAAGCUAGAUGGUUGGUUUAGGACAUGGAAACAACAUACAAAACUAGUCUCGUUCAUUUUAGUUUAUAUUGUAGGUUCUGUAUAUUUCAGGUUCAUGCUCUUUCCUAUUUUCUUACGUAUAACCAAUUAUGGUUUCAUAUUAGGCGGUCCGUAUGUUAUUCUGCUAUGUUUCUUUAAGGUAUAAUCAAUCUUGCGGGUUAUACUAGCACUUUUACAUAAAACACAAAUUGUGACUUGUUAAGAAUUAUCCAUGGUAUUUUGCUUAGGUUACGGCAUUGUGUGAAACAAAGCUAAGUUUCUCGAGAAAAUUGAAGGAAAGGUGCCUUUUAAGUCUUGAAUGAAGGAUUGAUGACAUUGACCAACAGAUAGGUUCAAACAUCAUUAGAAAACUUGAUUAAGUUAAUUUUGGACUUGAUUAAUAUUUUCAAAACUUUCUAAUCUUUUCAAAAAUAUAAAUCAACCUAACCCAUACCCCUCUUUAAUCCAAAUCAACCAUUCUCUCUCUCUCCAGCUUCUCUUAACUCUCUCCCAACCAACAGUUCUGCAAAAUCUCUCCUUUCAACCUCCGGUGACAAAUAAUCGAACGAGUUCCUUUUCAACUUUCAACCGUCAAUCGAUGUGAAUACUUCUCCGGCGAUAACAACUUCGAGUUCUUCGUCCUCCCAUUUCUUUUUUCACAAGUAAAAAAUUAUGAAGAAACAGGGAAACUUGAGCCAACUACUCUUCUGGUAUUGAAAUGUGGACUGAAUAAAAUCCUAAUUUCUGGGAUUUCUGCAUUUUUUCUUCUUGUUGUCGUACUGUUGAUUCAAAUUUAUUGGUAUUUUUUAUCACAGUUAAUGUUCUCUGUGUAUGUGUGAUAUGUUGGUGUUGCUGGGUUGAUUUGUUGUUUGUCUUGGUAGAAAUGGUAUUGCAACAGUUGAAACAUCUGAUGUAAUAGAUGAAACAUAUGAAGCAACAGAUGAAAAUCUGAUGCAACAGUUUAAAAAUCUGAUGCAACUAUGAAAAUCUGAUGCAAUAGGUGAACAAUGUAACAGAUCCUUCAUCUGUUGCGACAGAUGACUCUUCUGUUUGGAAUAAAUCUAAACAGUAUUGAUCCAACAGAUAACUGAUUAGUGAUCUGUUUUUAUUCUUUCCAAUGGUUUACUCUUCAUUUUACAAUAGAUUAGGACUAUUUUUAUUCUUUCCAACGAUUACUCAUCCGUUGCAACUGGUCGGUUAUCUGUUGCAACAGAUAACAUACGUGGUGCAACAGAUUAGUUGUCUAUUGGAACUGUUAUAUUACUGUUAUGCACUAAUCAAUUAUAAUCUNNNNNNNNNNNNNNNNNNNNNNNNNNNNNNNNNNNNNNNNNNNNNNNNNNNNNNNNNNNNNNNNNNNNNNNNNNNNNNNNNNNNNNNNNNNNNNNNNNNNNNNNNNNNNNNNNNNNNNNNNNNNNNNNNNNNNNNNNNNNNNNNNNNNNNNNNNNNNNNNNNNNNNNNNNNNNNNNNNNNNNNNNNNNNNNNNNNNNNNNNNNNNNNNNNNNNNNNNNNNNNNNNNNNNNNNNNNNNNNNNNNNNNNNNNNNNNNNNNNNNNNNNNNNNNNNNNNNNNNNNNNNNNNNNNNNNNNNNNNNNNNNNNNNNNNNNNNNNNNNNNNNNNNNNNNNNNNNNNNNNNNNNNNNNNNNNNNNNNNNNNNNNNNNNNNNNNNNNNNNNNNNNNNNNNNNNNNNNNNNNNNNNNNNNNNNNNNNNNNNNNNNNNNNNUGUAUGAAAACAAAGAUAAGAUGGAUGAGGUGUGGAUAAAUUACUGUGACAUGCCUGUUUGUUUUGGUUGGGAGGAGUUUGUCGUAGUUACCGGACUAAAAUGUUAUCCUCCUUCUCCUUCUCAAGUUAUACCUACUCUGACCCAAAAAAAGCACCCCGCACACCCAAAAAAGGAAAAGGCAAGUCGAGUAAUCGUGAUGACUUGGUGUCCAUUGUUGGUUCAAGCUUCAAAAACAAAAAUCUGAUUGAAACGUUGAAAGGUAAAGGACUUUCAAAGAAGCACAAGCAAUCAUUGUGCUUGGUUUGGUUUGUACAUAAUGUUCUUUGGGCGAGAGACUUUAACAACAACAUAAGCCUUGGUUUAAUAAAUCUGUCCGAGGAUCUUGAGGCAUUUAACAGCUAUCCUUGGAGUUAUGAAAGCUUCAAAAUGACUGUCGAAUAUUUGUUGACUCCGUUAACGUCAAAAAUAGUCAACUUAAAUGGUUUUCCAUGGGCCUUCAUGAUAAAAAUUUCUUUUAUCCUGAUAUGAUUCAUCAUUUUUUUAUUCAAUAAUGCUUUUGAUUUAUUAGUGUUAUGUUAUAGGCUUGGGUAUUUGAAGUCAUUCCUUAUUUGAGACAACAAGUGAACUACCAGGAAGAAGUUUCCUGUCCAAGAAUUCUGAGAUCGUUGUCGGCCAAAACCAAUAAAAAUGCAAAAUUUCUUGAUCUUUUCAAUCUUCCAAGGAAGCAGUAAGUACAAUUCUAAUCGAAUUUUUGUUUUAAUUAAUGAUUAAAUGAUUUCAUCAUCAUUCUUAAUAUAUGUACCGAUUUAUUUUAGAUUGUCCAUCUGUGGCUUGUUCUGACCAAAGAGAGUUGAAGAUGCCAUUUUUUUUACUUUAUAAUCUGUGCAAACUUUAUCGGACCCUAAGUUCGUUGAUGGAAUAAAAAUGGAAUUGUUUGGAGCAACAGCCAUCACAAGAAAAAUAAUUUUCGUGGGUGGGGUAAUGAUGCUCCUCUUAUAGUUUUUGAAACAACAAGCCAUUAUGAUUAUGAUCAUAAUGGUUGUACAGAUUUUUCUCCAAAUUUUGCCGCAUCUAGCGAAUGUUCUUCAUGAAAAUGUCAAGACUGUAAGGCGAAACACGAUGGAGUGAUUAAUGCUAUUAAUGCACUAACUGCUUCUGUAAAGAAAAUGACAUCUAAGAGGGGUGUCAUUCCAUCAAAGAGGAUUUUAUAUCCAAACACUCCACUAGAGAUCAAGGCGGCUAAGAGGAGAAGGAAAGACACUUCCAAGGCAUCAUCAAUCAUCAAAAAAGCAAGAUUGCAAUGCCUCUAUCUUUGUCUUGCACCGAUGUUCAGUGUGCAAGGGCCACAAAAGAGCAACAUGAGCUGAAGAAGGUGAAUUUACAUCAUCUAUUCCAAAAAACAAAUAGGCACAUAUCUGUUUCAACAGAUGAUACAUCUGCUGAAAAAUAUCAAACAGAUGUAUACAUCUGUUACAACUGUUGUCUAACCUAUUGCAUCAGAUUCAUUAUCUGUUUUAACAGAUGAGUCUUAUGUUGCAAUAGAUGGGUCAUCUGUUCAAAAUUAUCGUACUACUCUGAUUUACCUGUUCGAAUUUGUCCCAACAGAUAGUCCAUCUGAUGCAACAUAAGACUUAUCUGUUACAACAUAUAGAAAAUCUGUUGUAUAUCUCUACUUAGCAUUGACAAUUCUUAGUUUUUAGGUGGAUUUCACAGCUACUGCCGAAGAGCAUAAUAUGAUAGUUGAUAAUGUAUCAACUAUUAAAAAAGAUGAAGAAAAAAUAGAUCCUAUCAGUUUGGGAGAAUGGAAGAAUUACUCGUUUGAAGGGUUCAACAUCUCGGACAAGGAUCUAAAAAAACUAACACAAUUGAUCAACGACUAUUCAGAAUGGAUUGUCGAUGGGCUGUUAAAGCAUCAUGCCGGCAGGUACAUAAAUCAAUUUUAUGGAUAUUGGUUUAUACAAUUCUUGUUGUAAGAACCUGACAUUAACAUAUAUAAAUCAUCAUGUAGAAAACAAAAUGACGAGCGCUAAAAGUGAACGAAUCGAGUCUUGGUUUUGAUAUGUUCGACUUUGUUGUUGCACUUUCCAGAAUGAAGAAUUGGUUCUAUUUGAUGUCACGGCCUCAAACUUGCUGGAAUGAUGAGGUUUAAAUACCAUACAUAUUACUAUUAAUUAAUACUUUAUUUAAUUGCAUUUGCGUAUUGAUUUUUCAUCACGUAAUCCGAAAUGUUUGAUAAUAUGUGCAGUACAUCGAUGUCAUUUUUUACUACCUCCAAAAGAAGGCCAAGUUACAAACACAAGAACAAUACAAAUACAGAACAGGCAAUUGUUUGUACAAAGUUUACAUAAUAAUGCCUAUGAUAGGUAUUGUCAACA
RNAcentral lists this long non-coding RNA (18430 nucleotides) under Capsicum annuum. RNAcentral describes it as "long non-coding RNA (CANN_LNC012937)". The record is from RNAcentral. Lineage: Eukaryota; Viridiplantae; Streptophyta; Magnoliopsida; Solanales; Solanaceae.